Molecule: ribosomal RNA, 302 nt
Filed under: uncultured Pseudomonas sp.
Lineage: Bacteria; Pseudomonadati; Pseudomonadota; Gammaproteobacteria; Pseudomonadales; Pseudomonadaceae
Description: bacterial SSU rRNA
Rfam family: Bacterial small subunit ribosomal RNA
Source: RNAcentral
UUAAGUCCGUACGAGCGCAACCCUUGUCCUUAGUUACCAGCACGUUAUGGUGGGCGACUCUAAGGAGACUGCCGGUGACAAACCGGAGGAAGGUGGGGAUGACGUCAAGUCAUCAUGGCCCUUACGGCCUGGGCUACACACGUGCUACAAUGGUCGGUACAAAGGGUUGCCAAGCCGCGAGGUGGAGCUAAUCCCAUAAAACCGAUCGUAGUCCGGAUCGCAGUCUGCAACUCGACUGCGUGAAGUCGGAAUCGCUAGUAAUCGUGAAUCAGAAUGUCACGGUGAAUACGUUCCCGGGCCUU